Molecule: ribosomal RNA, 216 nt
Filed under: uncultured bacterium
Lineage: Bacteria
Description: partial 16S ribosomal RNA
Rfam family: Bacterial small subunit ribosomal RNA
Source: RNAcentral
GUCUCAGUUCGGACUGAAGGCUGAAAUUCGCCUUCNCGAAGUCGGAAUUGCUAGUAAUGGCAGGUCAGCAUACUGCCGUGAAUACGUUCCCGGGCCCUUGUACACACCGCCCGUCACACCAUGAGAGUUGGGAAUACCCGAAGCCUGUGAGCUAACUUUUAGAGGCAGCAGUCGAAGGUAGAAUCAAUGAUUGGGGUGAAGUCGUAACAAGGUACC